CUCAGGACGAAAUACCCCGUGCUCCCAGACCGUCAGCGGCGGACGGGUGAGUAACACGUGGGCAACCUGCCUGUAAGACUGGGAUAACUCCGGGAAACCGGGGCUAAUACCGGAUAAUUCUUUUCCUCACAUGAGGAAAAGCUGAAAGAUGGCAUCUCGCUAUCACUUACAGAUGGGCCCGCGGCGCAUUAGCUAGUUGGUGAGGUAACGGCUCACCAAGGCCACGAUGCGUAGCCGACCUGAGAGGGUGAUCGGCCACACUGGGACUGAGACACGGCCCAGACUCCUACGGGAGGCAGCAGUAGGGAAUCUUCCGCAAUGGACGAAAGUCUGACGGAGCAACGCCGCGUGAGUGAUGAAGGUUUUCGGAUCGUAAAACUCUGUUGUCAGGGAAGAACAAGUACCGGAGUAACUGCCGGUACCUUGACGGUACCUGACCAGAAAGCCACGGCUAACUACGUGCCAGCAGCCGCGGUAAUACGUAGGUGGCAAGCGUUGUCCGGAAUUAUUGGGCGUAAAGCGCGCGCAGGCGGUUCCUUAAGUCUGAUGUGAAAGCCCCCGGCUCAACCGGGGAGGGUCAUUGGAAACUGGGGAACUUGAGUGCAGAAGAGAAGAGUGGAAUUCCACGUGUAGCGGUGAAUGCGUAGAGAUGUGGAGG
This 658-nucleotide ribosomal RNA is filed under the name Bacillus sp. M608. RNAcentral describes it as "bacterial SSU rRNA". It matches the Rfam family "Bacterial small subunit ribosomal RNA", at positions 67 to 704 of the family's 1533-position model. The record is from RNAcentral. Lineage: Bacteria; Bacillati; Bacillota; Bacilli; Caryophanales; Bacillaceae.